This 1327-nucleotide ribosomal RNA is filed under the name Arthrobacter sp. S4B. Its description in RNAcentral is "bacterial SSU rRNA". It matches the Rfam family "Bacterial small subunit ribosomal RNA", at positions 93 to 1440 of the family's 1533-position model. Lineage: Bacteria; Bacillati; Actinomycetota; Actinomycetes; Micrococcales; Micrococcaceae. The record is from RNAcentral.
UAGUGGCGAACGGGUGAGUAACACGUGAGUAACCUGCCCUUGACUCUGGGAUAAGCCUGGGAAACUGGGUCUAAUACCGGAUAUGACUGACCGUCGCAUGGUGGUUGGUGGAAAGCUUUUGUGGUUUUGGAUGGACUCGCGGCCUAUCAGCUUGUUGGUGGGGUAAUGGCCUACCAAGGCGACGACGGGUAGCCGGCCUGAGAGGGUGACCGGCCACACUGGGACUGAGACACGGCCCAGACUCCUACGGGAGGCAGCAGUGGGGAAUAUUGCACAAUGGGCGCAAGCCUGAUGCAGCGACGCCGCGUGAGGGAUGACGGCCUUCGGGUUGUAAACCUCUUUCAGUAGGGAAGAAGCACGGUACCUGCAGAAGAAGCGCCGGCUAACUACGUGCCAGCAGCCGCGGUAAUACGUAGGGCGCAAGCGUUAUCCGGAAUUAUUGGGCGUAAAGAGCUCGUAGGCGGUUUGUCGCGUCUGCCGUGAAAGUCCGGGGCUCAACUCCGGAUCUGCGGUGGGUACGGGCAGACUAGAGUGAUGUAGGGGAGACUGGAAUUCCUGGUGUAGCGGUGAAAUGCGCAGAUAUCAGGAGGAACACCGAUGGCGAAGGCAGGUCUCUGGGCAUUAACUGACGCUGAGGAGCGAAAGCAUGGGGAGCGAACAGGAUUAGAUACCCUGGUAGUCCAUGCCGUAAACGUUGGGCACUAGGUGUGGGGGACAUUCCACGUUUUCCGCGCCGUAGCUAACGCAUUAAGUGCCCCGCCUGGGGAGUACGGCCGCAAGGCUAAAACUCAAAGGAAUUGACGGGGGCCCGCACAAGCGGCGGAGCAUGCGGAUUAAUUCGAUGCAACGCGAAGAACCUUACCAAGGCUUGACAUGAACCAGACCGGACUGGAAACAGUUCUUCCACUUGUGGCUGGUUUACAGGUGGUGCAUGGUUGUCGUCAGCUCGUGUCGUGAGAUGUUGGGUUAAGUCCCGCAACGAGCGCAACCCUCGUUCUAUGUUGCCAGCGGUUCGGCCGGGGACUCAUAGGAGACUGCCGGGGUCAACUCGGAGGAAGGUGGGGACGACGUCAAAUCAUCAUGCCCCUUAUGUCUUGGGCUUCACGCAUGCUACAAUGGCCGGUACAAAGGGUUGCGAUACUGUGAGGUGGAGCUAAUCCCAAAAAGCCGGUCUCAGUUCGGAUUGGGGUCUGCAACUCGACCCCAUGAAGUCGGAGUCGCUAGUAAUCGCAGAUCAGCAACGCUGCGGUGAAUACGUUCCCGGGCCUUGUACACACCGCCCGUCAAGUCACGAAAGUUGGUAACACCCGAAGCCGGUGGCCUAACC